Molecule: long non-coding RNA, 264 nt
Filed under: Capsella rubella
Lineage: Eukaryota; Viridiplantae; Streptophyta; Magnoliopsida; Brassicales; Brassicaceae
Description: long non-coding RNA (CRUB_LNC003931)
Source: RNAcentral
UUUACGUAUGAAAAAAAAAGUGUCGUCUGUUAGAGAAAAAAAUGUUGUACUAUAUGAUAAAUCUAAUAGGACCUGAGAAAAUAGUUAUAAGGGUAAAAUCGUGAUUAUGUUUACAUAAUUUGCAAUAAAUAAUAAAUAAAAAAUAAUAAAUAAAAAUAAAAACAGAAUUAAAAAUAUAUUUGGAAUAUUUUAUUUUGAGCAAAUUAGAGUAAUACGCCUAAAAGAAGAAGCACAAUUUAUUUGUUUUAAAAGGUGAAAUAGAAC